CCUAAAAAUAACAAAAAAAAUCACAAGACCUAACCGCCUGCCCUACCACCCCGACUCAGCCGCCGCCGCCGCUACUCAUCUGAGCGGCUGAGAUGCCGCCGCCGCCACUGCUCACUGCAUCUUCUCCCCCACCCGGCCACCCCGGACGCCAACUCCCGUGGCGGCUGCCAUCUCCCGCAUCUCCGCCCUCGCCUUCUCACUGACCGCCGUCCGUCGCGCCGUUGCUGGACUCGCUGCAUGCAAGGAAGCAGAGGAUCAGAUGAGGAAAUGGACCCGCCGUCGCCCAUCCGUCCGCCCAGCGCCCACCCACCUUCGAUUCGAGCUUCGAUCUUUCGACAUCGUCCCAACUCUCCACAUCGGCAACUCAGCGGGCAACCGUCGGUCCACCUCGGCAUCUCGGCGGUGUCUUCUCCAGGUCGCCACCACGUCUUCCACGGAAGAAACUGAGCAAUCAGUCAAUAUGGCUGAACCUGGUGGAGUUGGUGAUGUUGAGAUGUCUGAAGAGGAGAUUCAAGUUUAUGAAGAAAGAAAGAAAAGAGGAGUAUGAACAGAAAAAGAAGGAAAUGGAUGAAUGGCCUAGAAGAAGGCAGAUGAAGAAAAGAUCACAGGUGUGGGAUCAAUUUUCUGAGGUGAUAUUGUAAUGAUGUGAAUGAUUAUUGGUUCGACCGGAAUUUUCAGAAGGUGGCAGAAGUGUGGAUAUAAUAGCAACAAUCAAAUGGAAUAUGUGGACUGGACAACUUUGUGGCGGAGGAAGCUAAUAUUCCUUUAAAAUUGUGGAAGAUAUUGAUGUAUACAAAGUAGAUUUGAUAUGCAAGAUGAUGUAUCUGUAGCACUCUGUUUGAUACUGAUUAUUAAGUUUGAAACUUGUUUAUGUAAAUUUGCGUUCAAAUCUGAUUCUG
Molecule: long non-coding RNA, 899 nt
Organism: Triticum aestivum (bread wheat)
Lineage: Eukaryota; Viridiplantae; Streptophyta; Magnoliopsida; Poales; Poaceae
Exons: 3
Source: RefSeq, a predicted model, not a curated record